UUGGACUAAGUUAGUGGGAAAAUCCAACAUUUUGUUGGAUAAUCCCACUAACUCUUAGUGGGAUAUGUGGCUAUAUGAGAUAUAGACACCUAGCCCACUAAGUUCCACUAAUUGUUAGUGGAAUAUUAGGUGUUGAGAUUUGGCAAUUGAAUUGCAUGCAUUUUUGCAUGUAAUUAGGCUAUAAAUAGAGAUGUUUUCAAAUGUUGAAGGACUUUUGCCUCUCUUAUCAUUUUCAUAAUCUCAACAAAAGAAAAAAGAAAGCUUCCAAUCUCAUUUUAUCUCCAUUACUUUCUACACCAAAAUUGGGUCCCACAACCCGGUUCUUUGUCUAGAGGAUAGCAGUUGAGUACUAGUGGUGGUCUCGGGUAGAAUUGGUAAGAAAACAUCAAACCUUUUGAAAGCUUCAAAGGUAAUACUUCUUAAAACCCUAAUUUGAUUAGUUUAUGGUUAGAUGUUAAUUGUGGCAAUUAGGGUAGAAAUUCGAUUCUUUUUCCACUGUGCAUGACUUAGUUCUAUCAUAUCAAACCUGAUAUACCACUGUCUUGGAGAUUGUUUAAGUCCAUAGAUGAACUUGUGAAUACGACAAACCAUGUCUUCCUUACCCUUCACCAUAUAGCCCUUAAGUUGAGCCAUGUAAAUCAUCUCCUCCAGUUCUCCAUGAAGAAAUGUUGUGGUGACGUCCAUCUGUUCAAUGAACAUAUCAAAGUGAACAACAAUAAAUAAAAUUAAUCUAAUGGACGAAUACCUCACCACCGGAGAAAAAAUCUCAUUAAAGUCAACUCCCUCCUUUUGAAUGUAGCCUUUUGCUACCAACCUAGCCUUAUAUCUAGGCUUACUAUUACCUCUUGUACCUGACUUGAUUUUGUAAAGAGAACAACUCUGCCACCAAAGCAUCCUUCGAUUGUUUCUUAGAAUCAUAUACGAUUGCCUCUUCAAAAGUAAGAGUCUCUGCUUCAAUACUAUCAGCUGCGCAAGUAAGAGCAUAAGCAACUAAGUCAGCGUAAUCAUACCUUAUAGGAGCAUGUCUUUCCCUCUGAACCCUGUCUUGAGUAAGCUGAUAGUUCUGUAGGUCAUUAUUACUUGAGCUUUCUUCACUGUGAACGCCCUCAUCAAUUAAAGUCCUCUCAUGUUGAGACUGUAUACCAUCAUAUUCAAACUGGUGUGUGGCCUUUGUUUGUGAAACUAGUGGUAACUGAUCACUAGAUACAUCUAAGCCAACUGAUGGUCGUACUUCUGAAUCAACUCUAACCUUUGUCUCAACAUGAUCAAUAGUCUUCUGCUUUUGUUGCUCUUUGACACAAUACGACAUUUAUGUCUCAUUAAAAGUUACAUCUCUACUGAUAAUGCAUUUAUUUAUCCCCUUCUGCAAGCACCAAAGUUUAUAACCUUUGACACCCUAAGGAUAACCAAUAAACAUGCAUUUUAGUGCCCUCUUGUUCAACUUUCCAUCUUUAACAUGAGCAUAUGCUGAGCAUUCGAACACUCUGAGAUGAUCUAAACUUGGAGCUUUACCUAUCCAUACCUCUUGAGGAGUCUUUAAGUCUAAAGUUGUAGAAGGACUCCUAUUAAUGAGAUAACAUACUGUUUGAGCAGCUUCCCCCCAAAAUUUCAAGGGUAAUGAUGCAUUAGCCAAGAGACACCUAGAAGGCAUCUUCAUAGGACCCCACAAAUCUGAAUGAACAUAAUCCAAAAUACCUUUGGUCGUGUGCUUCCCUUUCCCAAACUUUACUCUGGUAGACUUUCCCAUUAUACAAUGCUCAUAAAAUGGUAGUUCAACAUCUUUAACUCCUCUCAACAAACCUUGUUGAGAAAGUGCUUGUUAACCUCUUUCACUCACAUGAGCUAACCUUUUGUGCCAUAACAUAGACAUAUCUGUAACUUUGUCUGAUGCAAUAGCAGCACUGCCUGAAAUUGCAGUACCUUCCAACACAUACAAACCAUUCCUCAAGUUUAACCAAAGAACCCUUGGUAACUUUCAUAACUCCAUUCUCAGAUUUACAAGUAUAACCUGAUCUAUCUAAAUCACCAGUAGAUAUUAGACUACGUUUGAGUUUCGGAACAUAUCUAACAUUAGUGAGGACUCUGAUCAUCCUGUCAUGUGUUGCAAUUCGGACUGAACCAAUUCCCAACGCGGAACUGAUGUCGAGACCCAAACUCAACACAUCAUCAGAGUACCGCAAAUGUGCGUCGUUCACCGUCCUCUUCUCUUCGAAUGUCGUUCACUGUCGUGCAAAAACUCAUAUGUUAAAGCUUCGCCGAACGCCUCUUUCUCUCCCUCACUCUCUUUCUGUCGUGAACUGUCGGCUGCCCCCUUUUCUUUUUGUCUAAUUUAAAAAGACCUAAAGUAGAAGAUGUAAACAAUUAUAAAUUUGCCACAAAGGCAAAUUACCACUCUACCCUUAACUUAAAUCCCAUUUUACUAACUCUUAAAUACUUUUCAUUUUUCUACAGCAUGCUUUUAAAGAUAAGAUACGACAACUUACUUUCGGUGAUAUCUCUGAAUCUACAACUCAAUCUCCAAUUUGGGACACCACCAGUCGGAGACCUUCCUAUGCUCUAGGAUGAGAUUGGUUUGUGUGAACCAAUUUGGAUAGGAAAAGGUUUAGAGAUAUUUGAGAGAAAACCUUUUCCUAUUAUUAUUUUAUAAAUUUAAUUAAAUAAAACUAAAUUAUUAAUUAUUUCUUCAAUUAAUUAAUACCUAAGUUAAAUAUCUUAUAUUUAACUUAAAUUAAAUUUGAAUCAUAUUCAAAUAUAAAUUUAUC
This 2762-nucleotide long non-coding RNA is filed under the name Cucumis sativus (cucumber). RNAcentral describes it as "long non-coding RNA (CSAT_LNC001654)". The record is from RNAcentral. Lineage: Eukaryota; Viridiplantae; Streptophyta; Magnoliopsida; Cucurbitales; Cucurbitaceae.